This 497-nucleotide ribosomal RNA is filed under the name uncultured bacterium. RNAcentral's name for it is "partial 16S ribosomal RNA". It matches the Rfam family "Bacterial small subunit ribosomal RNA", at positions 28 to 507 of the family's 1533-position model. The record is from RNAcentral.
GACGAACGCUGGCGGCGUGCCUAAUACAUGCAAGUUGAGCGCUGAAGGUUGGUGCUUGUUCCGACUGGAUGAGCAGCGAACGGGUGAGUAACGCGUGGGGAAUCUGCCUUUGAGCGGGGGACAACAUUGGGAAACGAAUGCUAAUACCGCAUAAUAACUUUAAACACAAGGUUUAAGUUUGAAAGAUGCAAUUGCUUCACUCAAAGAUGAUCCCGCGUUGUAUUAACUAGGUGGUGAGGUAAAGGCUCACCAAGGCGAAGAUUCCUUACCGGCCCGAGAGGGGGGAUGGCCCACACGGGAACUGGGAAACGGCCCAGCCUCCUACGGAGGGAGCCAGAGGGGAAUCUUGGGCAAGGGCGGAAGGCCGAACGAGGCAACCCGGCGGGAGGGAUGAGGGUGUCGGAUCGGUAAAACCCGUUGAUUGGGAAGAAAGAUAGUUAGAGUGGAAAGCGCAUAAAGUGACGGUACCUACUCAGAAAGCCACGGCUAACUACGUG